RNAcentral lists this ribosomal RNA (1569 nucleotides) under Salmonella enterica subsp. enterica serovar Virchow. Its description in RNAcentral is "partial 23S ribosomal RNA". It matches the Rfam family "Bacterial large subunit ribosomal RNA", at positions 1250 to 2802 of the family's 2925-position model. Lineage: Bacteria; Pseudomonadati; Pseudomonadota; Gammaproteobacteria; Enterobacterales; Enterobacteriaceae. The record is from RNAcentral.
GUGAAGGUGGCCUGUGAGGGUUGCUGGAGGUAUCAGAAGUGCGAAUGCUGACAUAAGUAACGAUAAAGCGGGUGAAAAGCCCGCUCGCCGGAAGACCAAGGGUUCCUGUCCAACGUUAAUCGGGGCAGGGUGAGUCGACCCCUAAGGCGAGGCCGAAAGGCGUAGUCGAUGGGAAACGGGUUAAUAUUCCCGUACUUGGUGUUACUGCGAAGGGGGGACGGAGAAGGCUAUGUUGGCCGGGCGACGGUUGUCCCGGUUUAAGCGUGUAGGUGUGUGUUCCAGGUAAAUCCGGUUCACUUUAACACUGAGGCGUGACGACGAGGCACUACGGUGCUGAAGCAACAAAUGCCCUGCUUCCAGGAAAAGCCUCUAAGCAUCAGGUAACAUCAAAUCGUACCCCAAACCGACACAGGUGGUCAGGUAGAGAAUACCAAGGCGCUUGAGAGAACUCGGGUGAAGGAACUAGGCAAAAUGGUGCCGUAACUUCGGGAGAAGGCACGCUGACACGUAGGUGAAGUGAUUUACUCAUGGAGCUGAAGUCAGUCGAAGAUACCAGCUGGCUGCAACUGUUUAUUAAAAACACAGCACUGUGCAAACACGAAAGUGGACGUAUACGGUGUGACGCCUGCCCGGUGCCGGAAGGUUAAUUGAUGGGGUCAGCGCAAGCGAAGCUCCUGAUCGAAGCCCCGGUAAACGGCGGCCGUAACUAUAACGGUCCUAAGGUAGCGAAAUUCCUUGUCGGGUAAGUUCCGACCUGCACGAAUGGCGUAAUGAUGGCCAGGCUGUCUCCACCCGAGACUCAGUGAAAUUGAACUCGCUGUGAAGAUGCAGUGUACCCGCGGCAAGACGGAAAGACCCCGUGAACCUUUACUAUAGCUUGACACUGAACAUUGAGCCUUGAUGUGUAGGAUAGGUGGGAGGCUUUGAAGUGUGGACGCCAGUCUGCAUGGAGCCGACCUUGAAAUACCACCCUUUAAUGUUUGAUGUUCUAACGUGGACCCGUAAUCCGGGUUGCGGACAGUGUCUGGUGGGUAGUUUGACUGGGGCGGUCUCCUCCUAAAGAGUAACGGAGGAGCACGAAGGUUGGCUAAUCCUGGUCGGACAUCAGGAGGUUAGUGCAAUGGCAUAAGCCAGCUUGACUGCGAGCGUGACGGCGCGAGCAGGUGCGAAAGCAGGUCAUAGUGAUCCGGUGGUUCUGAAUGGAAGGGCCAUCGCUCAACGGAUAAAAGGUACUCCGGGGAUAACAGGCUGAUACCGCCCAAGAGUUCAUAUCGACGGCGGUGUUUGGCACCUCGAUGUCGGCUCAUCACAUCCUGGGGCUGAAGUAGGUCCCAAGGGUAUGGCUGUUCGCCAUUUAAAGUGGUACGCGAGCUGGGUUUAGAACGUCGUGAGACAGUUCGGUCCCUAUCUGCCGUGGGCGCUGGAGAACUGAGGGGGGCUGCUCCUAGUACGAGAGGACCGGAGUGGACGCAUCACUGGUGUUCGGGUUGUCAUGCCAAUGGCACUGCCCGGUAGCUAAAUGCGGAAGAGAUAAGUGCUGAAAGCAUCUAAGCACGAAACUUGCCCCGA